This 6984-nucleotide long non-coding RNA is filed under the name Marmota monax (woodchuck). Lineage: Eukaryota; Metazoa; Chordata; Mammalia; Rodentia; Sciuridae. The record is from RNAcentral.
AGCAGGUGCUGGUGGGUGAGGUGUGUGUGGCAGUGCUGUGGGAACGUGAAACUUCCCCUGAACCCAAGAAGGCAGCUGAAAAUAUGUUAGUCACUUUUGAGGAUAUAUGUGUACCUUUAAAUAUUUCUCCACAGAGUUAAUUAGAAUUAUACGGUUUCUCUAAAUAAAUGACAAUAUUUGCUACUGAGUCCGGUUUAUGUUUCAUUUAGUUACUGGAAUACUCUGAAAUAUAGCAUUGAGUAAACAUUCACUUAAACAUUUCUAUAGACAAGAGGUUAAAAAAUAAAGAACAUAUUUCUGACUGUGAUCAAUCUCAUUCUUAUUUUACAAAAAGACUGAUGUGUAGUUUUUUCUUGUGCUAAAACAUGGAAUUUUAAUGGAUGUGGGAAGAUUUGUACUUACCUACUAUUGCUUAAGAUAAAUUUAGAUAUAGAUAAUUAGAUCUCUACAUUUAUGAUAAAUCAUUCAAGAUCUUUUGACAGGUCUAUACCCUAAGUAAUUAGCACUAUAUUUAUUUUGUGUAAAUCAGUAUAAUUCUGUGAAACUCAUCAAAAUUUAAUGCUUUUUUUUAAGUCCUAGAAAACAUCAGUGUGACCAUUUAAAAAAGAAGGUUUAUGAACACAAUAAAAGUGAGAAAGUUUUUCAUAAAGGCUCAAAAUGUAUCCAUCCAAACUUUCAUAACCAAGAAAAGAAUUAUCAAUGUAAGGAAUGUGAAAGAGCUUUAAAUAAACUUGACAGCAUUACUGAACAUCACAUAAUUCAUACUGGAGAGAAGCCCUACAAAUGUAAAGAAUGUGGCAAAGCUUUUAAUCAAAGAGCACACCUUUCUCGUCACCAAAGAAUUCAUACUGGAGAGAGGCCAUACAAAUGUGAAGAAUGUGGUAAAGAUUUUAAUCGAAAAUCACACCUUAUGCAUCACCAAAGAAUUCAUACUGGAGAGAAGCCAUAUGAAUGUAAAGAGUGUGGCAAAGCUUUUAAUCAACCAUCAUCCCUUACUCGUCACCAGAGAAUUCACACUGGAGAGAAGCCAUACAAAUGUACAGAAUGCGGCACAGCUUUUGCUCUCAAGAAAACUCUUACUGAUCACCAGAGAAUUCAUACUGGAGAGAAGCCAUACAAAUGUAAAGAAUGUGGUAAAGAUUUUAAUCGAAAAUCACAUCUUAAUAUACACCAGAGUAUUCACACUGGAGAGAAGCCACACAAUUGUAAAGAAUGUGGCAAAGCAUUUAAUCGAAGAUCACGUCUUAUACAACACCACAGAAUUCAUACUGGAGAAGACAUAGAAUGUAAAGAUUCUUUUAUUCCUACAUUCUUGGCAAAGCCUUAUAGGUCACCAGAGAAUUUAUACUGGAGGGAACCCAUACAAAUAUAAAGAAUGUGUCAAAACUUUCAGUCAAAUUUCCAGCCUCAACGUUGACCAGAAAAUUUAUACUGGGGAAGAACCAUACAAAUGUGAAGAAUGUGGCAGAGUUUCUAAGUAUGUUUCAAGUGUUAUGAAGUACCAGAGAAUUCAUAGUUGAGAAUUUUUGGAAAUCUAUAAAAUGAAAAGUUAUUUAAUGUACAAUCACACCUUAUUGAUCACCAGACAUUUUAUACUAGAAAGACAACUUACUAUACUAAAAAGAAAUGUGGCAAAGUUUUAAUCAAAACUCACCAUUUAAAAAUUAUCAAAGAAAUUAUAGUAGUGAUUACACCCUACAAAUGUAAACAAUGUGACAAAGCUUUUAAUGAAGGUUCACGUCUUAAAAAAUCUACAGAUUGAGUAUUAAAGAGAAGCCCUAUAAAUGCCAAUGAUACAUCAGAGCUUUAGUCAAAAUUUUUUAAAAAGCAUACUCUAUCAAAACCUAAUGCAUACAAUGUGUGCAGAAAACCCUGUAACUUGCAUGCCUUGCAUAUCAGGAAAAUAUACAUUAUUGAGGAAAAUUUUGAUCUAUAAGAAAUAUAGCAAGGUGUUAUAUUGCAUAUGCUUCUGAAUAUAAUAAUUUUCAGGGAGAUUAUAUAUUAAUAGAGAAUGUGAUAUUACUUUUGUAGUAGCUUAAAAUUUAAUUGGCAUAACUAGUUAAUGUGAUAGAAAUAAAGAAAUUCUUAGAUAACACCAUGGUACAGACUGUCAGGAACUGCCCUGGAUGCAGAUCCCUUCAAUUUUUGAUGCACCAGGUUCUGAACAAUUACUGUCUUUAGUCUGGCAUGGUAGUCCCAGGUCACAGUAACUUUGGAGUUACCCCAGCUAGGAUAACAAGGUAUGCCUCCAGGAGUAGGUGUUACCCACUGAGGUUGAGUUACACUCACCUGUUCCUUUGUAAUCCUAACCCUUUGUUCUUUUGGGGAUAGAAUGUUCCAUGGAACUUCCCCUUGUGUAUCUCCUAUAUAAGAAUAAAUAAUUCCAGUGGCUCUCUCUUUCCAUGGACCUUUAAGGUUGGAGAGCCAUCACGGACUCUGAGAAGUUACUACUGUGUGCUUGUUGUGAUUUUUUUUUUUUUUUUUUUUUUGUCAUUUUCUUAACUUGUUGGAAUAGUCGAAUUUUGUGAAGCCAGAAUUCAGUCUCCAGUUAGGGUAGAUGGCAAUAAAUGGAGGCCCAAUUGGGAUUCCAGCAUAAAUUUUAGAAAUUUAGUGGGUUUGGUAUUUUUCUCCAGAAGUUAAGCCUACUUAGGAUUUCAGGGUAUUAUCAGUUAAGUUGGAGAAAAUAAGUGAAUUAGAAGAAAAACGAUGUAACAUUAAACUUAUAAUAUCUGGAUUUUUUUUUUCCUUUAGAAACAGCAAAAAUUUUACUUUCUGCAACUCUGGGGAAAAUAAAUAGACAUAAAAAAUGAGAAAUUAGAAAAUUCAAAGUACCACAGAAAUUAAGAUGAUAAGGAAUAUGUUGCUAAGUUUUGCCCUCUUCCAUGGGAAAAGUGAUUUAUAGAUUUUUUUAAAAAAUUUUAUAUUUUGAAAUAUUAGGUAAAGAUUUUCUGAGUUAUAUGUCAGGAAUCCACACUUGGAGAGUGAGAAAACAAAAGAAAAGUUGUUUUUUAUUGUUGUUGGUUUUUGUUUGUUUGUUUAAUGGUAAGAUUGUUACAAGGUGGGGGGGUGGAUUUUUCUACUUUUAAAGAGGCAUUUAUUUUUUCCAGCUGUUUUGGGACAGAUGCAGGGCUUUGACCGCUGCCCCCUGUGGUGCUGCCAGAUUAUUCUGCCACUUGAAAACACUAGUUUAACUGGGCACACGUUGCCUUAGAAUUUGGUAAUGGUGGCAUCAUCUGCUGAGGGGCGCAUUUUUUAUGUUAAAAGAAUUUUUGAGAUGCUCCCAGGAGAGUGAGCACUAAGGAAACAAAAUGCAGGGAGAUGGUCCUUUGAGAGAAGACUAUCCACUUACCCUGGCUCCACAGUUCACAGAGUGGGAAAUGACAAAAUUUUGGCAUGGCCAUCCAAGCACAGGCCCACUAGCACCAGCAUAAACUGUUGGCACUUCCCUGGCAGUAUCCCAAGCAGGAACACACCAGGUAAGACCUGGACAUCUGGGAAAAUUUGGGGAGCAAACACAAGGGCGGGGUCACAGGGCAAACCCAAGCUGGAGUCAGCAGCUGCAGCCAUGACCAUCAGCCCCGCUUCUCCUGCCUCAUGCCAACUGGCCCAUUAGCCAGGGGAAUACAAGGUCACCGCUUCAACCUCCCGGACCCUGGGGAAUGGCGAAGUGCCACAAGAUGUGGGUCGCAGAGGGACUACAGGUGGGGGAAGGUAGACUGAUUGAAGGGAGUAUGACCCAUUGGGUAAGUUUCCAGGGCACUUACCCCAAGCAGGACCCUAUGGUGUGCAACAAGCCCAGCCCCCACGGGGUGAAUGUGGAUGCAAAGCCCGCCCCAGUAGGGAGAACCCAUUUCUUGCACAGCCACAAUGUCAGGUGCAGCCACAGCUGCUGGCAAUGGCCAUACCCACUGGCCAUAUGCUGUUUUCUCACCAUGACAACCACUGGCAAAAGCAGACAGUACACGACAAGCUACCAUGGGGUUUGGCCAGAUCUGCUGGUAAUAGCACAUGCGGAUACACAAGGUUUCAAACAGGGCUUUUUGGUCCUGGCUUGCAACCAUUAACCUGUACUUUCUGUUUCACACAGGGCUGCUCCGGAAGCUACACAGAGCCUACAUUUUACUUAAGAAUGCCCACCUGUAAAUACUAACAAAAGAUAUCCUUUUCAGGCAAAAUUUAAUUUCAUGUUCCUGCCUGUAUCCUAAUGUGUUCUCAAGCUUAAAAAAAAAAAAAAAAAUCUGAUUUUUAUCCCUCACCAGGUUCUUAGAAACUUUUGAUAGCUGUUUUAUUAAGAAAAGUUGCAGAGGUACUAUAGUAAUUAUAAGAGGUUAUAAGGAUUAGUGUUCUCCAAAUUAAUGUUGUACAUGACACCUACUUAAAGGAUAAUAUUCUGAGAUAUAGAGAUAUUUUAAGACAUUCUCUCAGAGAUUGGGGGGUUCUACUUAAAUUGUUAGGAUGAAUCAGCUAGUCUAUAUUCUGGGAAAUUACAAUAAUCAAUAAAAAGUAUCUAAUUUUCAUAUCUAGCCUCAACUACUAUCAUCAAAGAAGGGCUUAAAAAAUUGAAAGAUUGAAGGAACCUCUAAAACUUAAUAUAGACCAAAACAAAUUGAGAGAGAUUUUUUAAAAGGUCCAAAUAAAUGUACUGUAGGGUUUCAGAAUGUAUGCCAGAUGUCUAAUCUUACCUAGAGAAAUAUGCUAGUACUUGGCUAAACAAUGAAAAGAAGGCCAUCUUAAAAACAGUUUUAAAGGAGAUUUAUCUUAACCAUGUUCCACUAACACAGAAUAGGGACAAGCCUGACAGUUUGGAGCAGACAGUUCUCCAGGAUAGAUUGGUAUCUAACAGAUAAACAAAAUGCCUGAAAUAUAAUUUUAGGGGCUGGGACUGUAGCUCAAUGGUAGAGUGCCUGCCUCACACAUGUGAGGCACUGGGUUCAGUCUUCGGCAACACAUAAAAAUAGAAAUAUUUUGUGUGCAACUACAACUAAAAAAAAAAAUUUAAAAAGAGUUUUUAAAAAAUCAUAAUUAAAAGUCUUUAGAAAAAUUUACUAUUUUUCAUAGAGAGACUUUAAAAAGAUAAUACAGUACCUUCAACUUAUAGGGGGCCACCCAUUUGAAAAGAUGUGUUUAUCUCCAGUUAGUCCUAGAUAUUCCAAGGGAUUUACAAAGGUUAACAUAAUUCUAGCCAAGUUUAGAUGUUACAGCAUAGUUAAAUGCAGCCCAAAUGAAGAAACAGAAAGACAAAUGCAGAGAUUAAAAUGGUAGUCAUAGCUCCAAGAGAAAUAAAUUUCCUGGGUAAAAUGUUUGCUCCUAAGUUACAGAUUUUGAAACCCCCUUAACAUUAAAACAGGGCCUUACUUCAAGCACCUGGCAACAGUUUAUUACUGAAAAAGAAAGGAAAAAAAAAGUCUGAAAAUAAUUAUGCCUAAAAUAUUAGACAAACAGCCAUAAAUAAAUCAGCUCAAUAGUCAAUAGCAUAUUUCAAUAAAAAAGCUAACAUAAUAGACCUUUUCUCAACUUUAAUAAUAUCUGACAAUGUCCUACAUACAUUGAUAUUUUAAAAUUAAUAAAACCAUAAUUAUACAUAAUUAUUAGCUAAUUUUACUACAUUAAAUAAGGUAUUAAGGGUGUUCAUACAACUGUUUUUUUUUAAUGCACAAAGAUUAUUUGUAAUAGAUCCCUAAAAAUGUUAUUGCUAGCUCAAUGUCAUAAAUUCUAAAUUAGAUCACUGUCUUAAACCACAUUGUGGACUUGUUUUUACCCAUUAACAUUUGAGAUACUAAUUCCCCCUACUUAGGUCAGCACUAAGUUGAUAACCAUAAUGCCAGUUUUUCAUGGAUUCAUAGAUAAAAGACUGUUCAUUUCUCUAUUUCAUUCUUUAUUAAUUGUAAUAAACAAAAUAUCUUCUCUAGGCUUAUUUAACAUAUGUACUUCCUAUUUUGGAUAGAUGUCUAUAUAUUUCUCAUGUCCCUAGUAAAGACCACCAAUACUACAUUAAUAUCUCUUGUCUCUUGCUUCUUUCCAAAUUAAGAUAAAUAUUUAAGUUAAUCUAGAGCUAAUUUCAGCCUGCAAAUAUUUAUAUACAACUUAUUGUAUUCUUUAUUUUUGGUAAUUCUGUUAAAGUCAAAAUCAAGUCAUACAUUUAGUAAAGGGUAAGUUUCUAUUUACCUUGUUCCCAUUAAAUAACUUCUGUCAAGUUUCACAACCACCUAGAGAUAAUAAAUCUUUUCUUAUUAUUUAAAUACUUGUACUACAUUAAACAUUGCCUGUAUAACUUAAAACUAAUGAUACUAUGGCUUAUGCCAAGCCUCUACUCAAUUUUUAUUAAAUAAAAAGAUGGGAAAAGAGAACCCCAUGGCACAUAAUAGAUGUUACAAAAUAUUUUUUAAAUUUUUCUUAAUUGUGAUAUUGGGAGUCUUACUUCUUCUGAACAUGAUUAGUAAGUUAAAUCAAAUUUCAAAAGAGUUUAAACUGGUCAUUGUGGAAAGGUUGAAAAACCUCACACAGGAAGAUAAAUUUCCAGCUGCAUAGUUUACAGCCAUGCAGCUUCAUGGGCUUGUCAGGUAAGUAAAAAUUAUGAACAAACAUCCAUGGACCCAUUUCUCAAGUCCACCCUCAAAGAAAAAUACACACACACACACACACACACACACACACACAUUGUAGUUGGACACAAUACUUUUAUUUUAUUUAUCUUUAUGUGGUGCUAAGAAUUGAACCCAGUGCCUUGUACAUGCUAAGCAAGUGCUCUACCACUGACCCACAAACACAGCCCCUCAGGUCCACCUUUGAUGUUCCUUGCAGUGAAGACUGGAAAGUCUAGGCAUGCAACUAUAUGAAUUUUACUGAUUGUAAUCGUCAGUUAUAGCUAUAUGUUGAUCUUAUGGUAAUCAGGCUGUCUGGCAGUAUCUUUUGAGAAAAAGACAGUAUAUGAUAACCCUAAACAAGCCAAUUAUGCUGAUCCUUACAAAUUAAGACUCUCUCUCU